RNAcentral lists this ribosomal RNA (346 nucleotides) under uncultured bacterium. RNAcentral describes it as "partial 16S ribosomal RNA". It matches the Rfam family "Bacterial small subunit ribosomal RNA", at positions 338 to 681 of the family's 1533-position model. The record is from RNAcentral.
CCUACGGGAGGCAGCAGUGAGGAAUAUUGGUCAAUGGGCGCGAGCCUGAACCAGCCAAGUAGCGUGAAGGAUGACUGCCCUACGGGUUGUAAACUUCUUUUAUAAAGGAAUAAAGUGAGGCACGUGUGCCUUUUUGUAUGUACGUUAUGAAUAAGGAGCGGCUAACUCCGUGCCAGCAGCCGCGGUAAUACGGAGGAGCCGAGCGUUAUCCGGAUUUAGUGGGUUUAAAGGGAGCGUAGAUGGGUUGUUAAGUCAGUUGUGAACGUGUGCGGCUCAACCGUAAAAUUGCAAUUGAGACUGGCAGCCUUGAGUACAGUUGAGGUAGGCGGACUUCGUGUUGUAGCGG